UUGAACAAAGAUGAAUUAAGUUUUUCUACAAUGUGAGAUUUUGUGAGGAGACAGGAAAUAGCCUUUUAUUAACGUCUCAUUUUUCACAGUCAAACAUAAACACACAGUAUAAUUCUUUAAGAACAAUAUUUUCAAAGAGUUCAUACUUUAACAUUUUACCUGUUCUGACAGUUAGCACCUGACACAAAAAUAAAUGCAUUAUGUGGAUUUUGUUUGCUGUUACAUAGCCAGGAUGAUUAAAGUGGUUUACUUUCAACUGCAUAUUACUUAAAUUAUUGUUGAGCUGAAAAUAAGUAUUUUGGAACUUGGAAUAACUAAAAAAGCAGGGCUAUUAAGGACUGCAGAUGAUCAUCUACUUCCCCAGUGCUGACCUUUCAAAGGUAGGAUCCAUUACACCAUAGCUUUAAAUAUCAGGAAGGUAUUCCCUACGGAUGUGCUAGCAAGGAUUUUAUUCAGCAGGGUACCAGAGACUUGUGCGGCUGUACUGUAGUGGGCAUACGUGGCUGGUGAGAUGAUCAGACUAUUAGCUCAGCUCUUGUUCUUCAUGGGCAUUUCAGUGUGGUGAAGAAGGGAUUGUGUUUAAUAAACUGUAUGCUUGAGGUGUCCCUGAUCUUUUGCGUAGAGGUUCAAAACUAGGAGAAGUUGAAUUGUGGUAGCAUGCAGAAGACUAUUCAGAAAAGCGUGAUCAGAUGACUGCAGCGUUCUCUGGUGUGUACAGCUAGGGACAGGCAGUAGUGCGUUAUGAAGCCUAGGUCAGUGUUUCCUACGCUACAGAUUUCAGCUCAUGCCUCUUCCCAUUCAUUAUACAGACAUUGGUUCGUAGAAGCAGCAAAAUUGCUUCUGAUAAAUUCUUUGUGAUUCUAGGCAAAGUAUGAUUGGGAACAUUAAUAAUCACAUAUAGGAAAAAGUUAACUCUCCCAUCUGGUCAUAGGAUCUCUUCAACAUAACACUCUGUGUCAGGGAGCAAGCUUUAUUUGGGAGGUAUUCUUCCUUUAGUGGCUUGCCCUUAAACGAGCUGGGAAGGGGUGGACCCAGGGUCCCCCCUUCUGGUCAUGUGGGAAGCACAGGUAAAUUGCUUGCACCUGUGCUCCUUGAGCCAGCCACUCCACCAGGUGUUCAGUUAUCAUGAGCUUGGGCUGUGACCUAAUAGUUCCCUUACAAUGGGGAAAAAAAACUUACUUGGGUGUAAGGCACUAUGGAUGGAGAUACUAACGUGUAGAAACGUGACUUCCUACACAUAACCAGCCUACUGUAGGCAAUGGUACUGCAAAGAGGGAGCUUUACUGUGAUCAGAGCUCUUGGCAGUGAGCAGAGAUACAGCAGAUGAGGAGGCAGGAAGUUGACACAGGUGGUGGCGAGCAGUCAGCCAGGGACAGUGCUGACUUCUAUGGAAAAACUAUGUAUACAGAGGAGUCAGCAUUUAGCAGAAGACAGAGAAGAGCCUGGGUCCAGCAAGUACAUGGAAACAUUUCUGCCUGCAAAAUCCUACCACACAGAGAUAACCAAGAAAGCUGACUGUGGCUGUAAGAGAUCUUAGAUUUUAAACGUUUGGAAAGGGAUGUGCUACAGAAGCUAGUUCAGAGCUGUGCUGCCAGCCUUGGACACGGGUUUCUACAUGCAAAAAAAAUCCUAAAUAUUGAGAAUUUUUCUGACCAGUGAAAUGUCUUUCUGCUUUGUAUCCUGUUGUGUACACACCACAGUGUCUUCUGAGAGCCUGCUGCUGAGUGCCCUGUGAGAACACUGACUUAAUGGGACUGUUUUCAUUGGAAAAUGAUGUUUUCAGCUCAAAUUAGAAUAUGCAUUUGUUCAAGCAGGUCACCAACUAUCCAUAGAACAAACGAAAACAAGAACCUACCUUCUGUCUGACAUGGAUCUCAUGCUGCCUACACAUGCCUCUCAUGUUCAGCUCAUUUGUGUUUCUCUGCCUUCGUUUCAAGUAAUGGAUAGCUACUUUCUUCUGUGAGUGCCUUGAGGCUCAGUUGAAGUUUGAUACUGACUUUAUUGGAGCCCGAGUGUGAACAACAAAUGUACUGCUUAAGUAUUCCAAAAGGUAAGGCUCAGAGUUUCAUGUCUGUUUUCUAAUUGCUGUUCUUUCUUAUUCCCCUGCCUCCUUUCUUUAAUUUAUUUCAUUAAUAUAGUGGUUCUGUCAGUUCUUUUCCUUCUGCUUACGCCCAACACUAACUUCAGGCACAGGCAAAAUUGAGCAUGGCUGCCUGCUUGGCUUUAUGUUAGGGCUGUAAAUGGUUAUAGUGACUGAGACUGCUGCUGAGACUUUUCAGGAUAUGUAGGGUGAUAGCAAUAGUUGGAUGAAUAAAACAAGAUGAUAAAAAUCUUCUAUUUUGCUCCUGUUUGAUGUUUACCUUAGCUCUUCAUUCUGGUUUUGCCCUUCACAGUCUGGUAGCAAAAGUAAUUGGACCCCAUU
This is a long non-coding RNA of Lagopus muta (rock ptarmigan), 2422 nucleotides long. RefSeq lists it as uncharacterized. The transcript has 6 exons. The record is from RefSeq and is a predicted model, not a curated record. Lineage: Eukaryota; Metazoa; Chordata; Aves; Galliformes; Phasianidae.